RNAcentral lists this transfer RNA (66 nucleotides) under Unerus colonus. RNAcentral's name for it is "tRNA-Ser". Lineage: Eukaryota; Metazoa; Arthropoda; Insecta; Hemiptera; Cicadellidae. The record is from RNAcentral.
AAGUUACUAAAUAACUCUUUCUUAUAUUUUCAAAAUAUACGCUUUAAUAGAAAUAAGCUAAGUAAC